UCUAACACUAGCAGUGCCUCAGUCCAGCCUCCCAGACUCAGAGAGAGAGAGAGAGAGAGACAGAGAGAAUGGCCACCACAGCAGCCCUCUCCAGCGCCAUGGUCAGCACAUCGUUUACUCGCCGGGUGCCAGUGACAAGCCUACGGGCACUUCCCAACGUGGGGGAGUCUCUUCUUGGCUUGAAAGCCAGUCGAGGAGGACGUGUUAAAGCAAUGGCAGCAUACACGGUGAAGCUCAUCACUCCUGAUGGUGAGAAGGAGUUUGCAUGCCCCGAUGACAUCUACAUCCUUGACCAUGCUGAGGAGGCAGAAGAGAUUGACCUCCCCUACUCAUGCAGGGCUGGCUCAUGCUCUUCAUGUCUUGGCAAGAUUGUGAAGGGGACUGUGGAUCAGUCUGAUGCUAGCUUCCUUGAUGAUGACCAGAUAGAGGAAGGCUGGGUUCUCACCUGUGUUGCUUAUCCUACGUCUGAUGUUGUCAUCGAGACACACAAAGAGGAAGAGUUUAGCGGUUAAAUAAGAUCUCUUUCUGUUUGUGUCGUCGGUGGUGUUCCGGCAGGGGGGGUGGAUUUUAUGAUUGUUAUCUCUACUGUUACUGAGCAUGUAAUUUAAUUUGUCCCAAGUUUUUCUUCCUUCAUUUGUAGUCUCAAAUGAAACUGCGUUUACUUAAUAAAUCUUAGUGUAUGGGAUUGUUUCCUCAACCGCCAUGGAUCUCUCUCUCUCUCUCUCUCUCACGCACACAGACGUGUACUUUAAUUUGCAAGUGUUUCUGUAAAAAUGGAUUUGUUUUGGAUGCUUAAUCUGAAACAUUUUUAGCUUAAAAACACAGUAUCGAACACAGCCUUAGUGGCCUUCACUUGCAACCAGGUGCCUUUUAGCUUAGUUGGGCUAAGAUCUUCUCUAUGCCACAGAUAAAAGUAAGGGAAGGCAAGAAGAGCCCUGUACCGAGAGAAUUACAGUUGCAACUACAACUAUAAAUUAAGAGAAUAAGUCUUUUCCUGCUCAUUGAGUAAUGCUUUUUUUUUUCGUUCCUUCAUGUUUUUGUGUG
Molecule: long non-coding RNA, 1044 nt
Filed under: Populus trichocarpa (black cottonwood)
Lineage: Eukaryota; Viridiplantae; Streptophyta; Magnoliopsida; Malpighiales; Salicaceae
Description: long non-coding RNA (PTRI_LNC001343)
Source: RNAcentral